UUCUAAAGCGGAGAUUAAAUUUCAUUAACAACUUUUUCACAACUUUGAUGUAAGAAAAAACGCUGCAUCAUUGACGUGGGCCCUGAAGAGUUGUGACGAUCGCUCCCAUGUUGUGAAACAGUUGCUACUAAAGCUACUUCAUUUACUUAUCGUUUAAGUCAUCGGAUAAAAAUAAGUUUAUAACUGAGGAAAAGUUUGUUUUGCUUUUGAUGACCAAGUAACUUAUUAGUAUUUAAAUUGCUAAGUCUCAUGGUAAACUGCCUUCCAUAAUCUUUUCAAGUUUUCUUUUAAAGUUUUUAAGAUUUCUUCGACUUAAUGUAUGUUUUAUAAACUUAUAUUUAUUUAUUUUUUAACAUUAUUCUUGCAAAAAGAUUUAUGUAGAUAACAAGGUGAAAAUCGAAUGAAGCGUCGUCGCCUGAAUAAAUCUUGGAUUUUAUAAUUACACAAAAUGAUGUUAUUAAUAUUAGUACUGGUUUUAAUCCUAACCUUAUGCUUCUUGUUUUAUAACUGCACUUUUUUGUAGAGCCAACUAAACUGCCAGAUGAUUUUCUUAAUGAUUUUAAUAAAGAAUUUUUAUUGUUAUCUAGUGAAAGUUUAUACGAUAACUUAUAUAAAUAUAAUAUUUAUUUGUAAAUGCAUUCGCAUUAGUUACACCUCAUACUCAAGAGUCUGAAAAACAAAGUACUAGAAAACAAAAGUACAAAAGAAACUAUGACUUUGAUGAAGCCCUUGGACCAGAGAUUGCAAAUCAGUAUCCUAUGAAAGUUGGAAUUUAGGUGUAAAGAUUGGUAUCAUCAACCUAACUAUAUGAUGUAAUAGAGGAUGUUGUAAAAAGAAGAUUUAAAAAGUUUUCAAAUGUUGAUAUUAAACAGUAAAUAUGACAGUUUUGUAAAUAUGCUCUAUCGUUUAAAAAAGACAAACUAAAAUGAAUUGUUCUUUUUUAUUGUUUAUAUUGUAUAUAUGUUUUUAAAUGUUGUACAAAUUGUUUUAUAGAAAGAUACUUUAUAACA
Hydra vulgaris (swiftwater hydra) is the source of this 1010-nucleotide long non-coding RNA. RefSeq lists it as uncharacterized. Lineage: Eukaryota; Metazoa; Cnidaria; Hydrozoa; Anthoathecata; Hydridae. The record is from RefSeq and is a predicted model, not a curated record.